Long non-coding RNA from Seriola dumerili (greater amberjack), 793 nucleotides. RefSeq lists it as uncharacterized. NCBI's taxonomy places the organism in Eukaryota, Metazoa, Chordata, Actinopteri, Carangiformes, Carangidae. The record is from RefSeq and is a predicted model, not a curated record. The transcript has 6 exons.
GUGCGUGUGAUGUGCCAUCAAGCAGUUGUAUGAUGGUCAACAUUUCAGUGCUCCUGUAACACAACCAGGCUGUGGCAGAGGGCAUAUGUAGAUGGCUUCUCCAUUCACUGAGCUGGAGGUGCUGACAAUCAUGUUCUCUCUCCUGGUUUUCGCCCUAUUCACACUUACUGGGAUUCUCAAUGAGGAAUGUGCACACUCGAAUGAGACUAACACACAACCACAAAGUGAGAAGCAUAUCGUCUGACUCCAGAUGAGGUCCGUGACAAAGAAUGACUUCUGCCAUUCAAAGUAUGACGUGUCAGUAAAAGCUUUGAGGACUCUGUGUGUGUGUAUGAGUGUUAGCAGUUGCCAGAACAAAGUCUAAAUGGUAGCCUCUGGGUGUGUGUGUUUACUUUGUUAUAGGAUCCAGUGUUAUUUGCUUCCGGGAAGAGGCCAGAGUCAGGAGGCAAGGAGUGGCCUAGAUAUGGGACACUGUAAAAAAAAAAAAAAAAAAAUCAAUAAAUAAACGCCUACUUUGUCAAACUGUAACAAGACAGUAUCUCGUGCCUGCUUUCUUUCUUCUUUGAGAAUCUGUUUGUAUGUGGAGAUACACACAAAUCCUUUUAUUCUGAUCUUCACAUUUGGAAAUAGGGAUCUUCAGAUGCUGGGAUUCUUCUUCUGGUCUAUGUUUUGUUUUUGCAAGAAUAACAACACAGCAAGAUCACAAAAGCUUGGCUUCAGUCUGCAUCCAGCCCGAAGGAGCCCAGCCAGAAAACGGUGUCUAUCAAGCAGAGAGGUCAAGAACAUUUAACAG